Molecule: non-coding RNA, 2743 nt
Organism: Dermacentor andersoni
Lineage: Eukaryota; Metazoa; Arthropoda; Arachnida; Ixodida; Ixodidae
Source: RefSeq, a predicted model, not a curated record
AAUGCAGCCAUUACUGCAAUCAAGUUGUUUCCUUAUGUCAUAUGAGGGAAUGAUGUGGGCCCAAAAAACUGUUUAGAGCUGAAGGAUUAUGUUCCAUUCUAGCCUCAUUGCCUGCUUUUUUAUCAUAUUGUUAUCCGCUGCUUAUGUUAGGGACACAAAGUAAGAGUACGAACUGUUUCCCGAUUCGCCAUUCCACACAACAUGUCUUUGUGACUGUAUGUACAUGCAGAUGAUCCAUAGCUGAAAAAUAUUCAGUACAGUAGAAUCUCAUUACAAGAUGCACUUGGUUGUAAGAGACAUCUGAAAAUGGUUUGGUUGGUUUUCCGAUGUUUGCCACGUUAACAAUACUGUAUACAAGAGACACCUUUGUUACUAAGGAUGACUUUUUAAGUAUUCACUACUUCGAAGGGACACAACCCACACACAUUCACUUUGUGCACCUUGUGUGCUCCGAAGGGCGUAAAGAUCACGCAAUCCUUACACAAGUCAAUCGCGCAUGUCUCUUUUAGCAUGAACCAGAAAAGGAGGGCAACGAGGACAGUGCAGGGCAGAAAGUGUCGGCAGUUGAAGCUGACGAGCGUCUAAGAGCACCUCAAAGGAGACAAUGCCUACGAAAUUAUUGGCCCUGAUCAUGAGAGCCCUCAAGGGGCAAACAACAUCUCUGUUGCAGAAGUGAGCCCGGUACCACUUGGAAGUUACCAUGACAGAUGACACGGCAGCAAUAGAUACAGAGACUGCCACGUCUACUGCAGCUGCAACAGUGUACGAGGCAAGCAGCAGCGCGUCAGCAGCAGUGUCAGAAGGAACCACACCAGGCCUGGUAGAGCAACAUGUGUGCUAUCACUGACUUUUUUUGUAGUGGAUACAACUCAUUUGCUCAACAUACAAAAGCUUUUCACCACGACUGUGAGCCAGUGUUAUUGUGCAGCAAGUGCAAGACUAAGUUAAGUGUUAUAACACAGUACAAGCAUCACUUUAACAUAUGAAAACAUAUUACAGUUGUUGCCUCCCCAGCCAGCCCACAUAGCCACAACAAUGUUGAACACAUGGUGGGACACACAUCUUCUCCAUUAGAAGAUAGUAGAGACUAUCAGUGUUGUUGUUAGAUUAACUGGUCUUUGUAGGCAACUAGGACAACACAGGUGUCAUAAGAUUGUUGUUGAUGUUGUUGUUGAAGAGGUAAAAAAGAAGUUUGAUGCAGCUGAAGUGCCAACUGAUAUUGAGCAAAUCAAAAGCAACCACCUGAGAAAGCAACACUAUCGAAAUUUGGGUAUCUAUGUGCCGCCAACUCUGGUAGGUAAGAAUGGCAUAGGACAGAAGUGUGAUGAAAAUCACACAGACACUGCUGUUGCAUCACUGGCCACAGUGAGCAGCGACUUGUAGGGCAAGAGAGUCAACUGAAACUAACAUUAUGAUAUAGUGUCAUGCUCCCAUGUGACCACUUUUCAAGUUAUUUUGCAAGAUACAGCUCAACCUCCAGAAACGAGACUGCAAGUUGUCUGUAAAAAAGCUUUCACAAAAAAUUAUUCAUAACACUAUUAACAUAGCAGUAUCUUUUUUUUUGUGUCGGUUCGAGGUUCCCGGCUGUCCAUUAAUGCAAAAAUUGAGGAAAAAAAGAACAUGUGUCGUACUUACACCUUUUUAACAAGUACGAGGGGUCAGAACUUUUCUAGUCAUGCAUCUUCAUCAUACUAUCAAGUUUUUAAAUGCCUUUUAUAAUUAUUAUUACCAGUUAUAUCUGAGUGCAUUGUAUGCAUGUAGCAGGUGUAAAGUCAGGUCAGUUGGAUCAGAUGCCUUAUCUGGAAGCGAGCCCUAUAUUCAAGAAAUUUGAAAUAAAAUAGUUACGUUAGAGACGCAGUCUUUCAGCACUUUAUUGCCUGUGGUUUAAGCAUUGCUCAAUACUUUUGUGGGUGGCAAUUUCAACCGGCACAGCACUGCGCUUUGCCACAGUCACAUUUGUCUUCAAAGCGGUGUUUACCAUUUGUGUUGAUCUGUUUGUGUAUGCAUAGAGCAAGUUUUUAAUUUAUAUUUUUCUGCAUUCUUGUGCUUGCACUAAGCUUGUAUAAGGCAGUUACAAAAUGUGCGGCACUAUAACGAACUGUUCUGUUGAGCUUACACUUGCAAAUAAUCGUGUUCAGAUGGCCGCACUUCUAUGCGGGUGCACCGCUAGCUUUGUGUAUGUUCUCAUGUUUGUAUAAAGCUUAUAUAAGCUAGUUAGAAAAUGUAUGUCACUAAGCAUUGUGAUAUUCUUUAAAGAACUGCUUGGUUGGUUUUACACUUGUGAAUUAGUAUUGAGGCGGUGGUAUUCCCAUGUAUGCCCACUGCUAGCUUUCUGUGUCCUCACGUGUUUGUAUUAAGUUUCUACAAGGGAGUUACAGCAUGUACGUCACUAAGCGCUGUGAUAUUUUUUAAAGAACUGCUUUGUUGGUUUUACACCUGUGAGUAAUAGUACUCGUGUGGCACUAGUCAUAUGUAGGUACACAGGGACCAUUUGUAUACAUUAUGCUCAUGUAAAGCAGUUACGAAGUGUAUGUCACUAAUUACUGUGAUAUUUGUUGAAUUGCUGUGAUGGUUUUACACAUGUGAAUAAUAAUGGUCAGGACACAGUACUUGCGGUGUAUAGUUGAAUUUAUACACUGCCAAGACAUGGGCUGUAUACGUACCAAAAGAAAUGUAUGUCAUUAUAUUGUUGUGAUUAUUACUGUUUGGAUUUCAUUAAACUGUAAUAAAAUUGUUUCUUGUA